RNAcentral lists this ribosomal RNA (497 nucleotides) under uncultured bacterium. RNAcentral's name for it is "partial 16S ribosomal RNA". It matches the Rfam family "Bacterial small subunit ribosomal RNA", at positions 28 to 507 of the family's 1533-position model. The record is from RNAcentral.
GAUGAACGCUGGCGGCGUGCCUAAUACAUGCAAGUCGAGCGAACGGACGAGAAGCUUGCUUCUCUGAUGUUAGCGGCGGACGGGUGAGUAACACGUGGAUAACCUACCUAUAAGACUGGGAUAACUUCGGGAAACCGGAGCUAAUACCGGAUAAUAUUUUGAACCGCAUGGUUCAAAAGUGAAAGACGGUCUUGCUGUCACUUAUAGAUGGAUCCGCGCUGCAUUAGCUAGUUGGUAAGGUAACGGCUUACCAAGGCAACGAUGCAUAGCCGACCUGAGAGGGUGAUCGGCCACACUGGAACUGAGACACGGUCCAGACUCCUACGGGAGGCAGCAGUAGGGAAUCUUCCGCAAAGGGCGAAAGCCUGACGGAGCAACGACGCGUGAGUGAUGAAGGUCUUCGGAUCGUAAAACUCUGUUAUUAGGGAAGAACAUAUGUGUAAGUAACUGUGCACAUCUUGACGGUACCUAAUCAGAAAGCCACGGCUAACUACGUG